UUAAGUUCAGCGGGUAAUCCUACCUGAUCCGAGGUCAACCUUCUGUAAGAUUUAGGGGGGGUUUAACGGCCGGAGAACGCUGGGGACCGCAGGCGAGAUAUCGCUACUACGCCCGGACCUCCAGCGAGCCCGCCACUAAUUUUCAGGGCCUACGCUCGCGCGUAGCGCCCCAACACCAAGCGGAGCUUGAGGGUUGAAAU
Molecule: unclassified non-coding RNA, 200 nt
Filed under: Phialemonium sp.
Lineage: Eukaryota; Fungi; Ascomycota; Sordariomycetes; Cephalothecales; Cephalothecaceae
Description: partial internal transcribed spacer 2
Source: RNAcentral